UGAGCAAUCUGCCCUUCUCUUCGGAAUAAGCGUUGGAAACGACGUCUAAUGCCGAAUACGACCUCCUUUCGCAUGAUCGGAGGUGGAAAGCUCCGGCGGAGAAGGAUGAGCUCGCGGCCUAUCAGCUAGUUGGUGUGGGUAAUGGCCCACCAAGGCGACGACGGGUAGCCGGCCUGAGAAGGUGACCGGCCACACUGGGACUGAGACACGGCCCAGACCUCCGUACGGGAGGNAG
This 235-nucleotide ribosomal RNA is filed under the name uncultured bacterium. RNAcentral's name for it is "partial 16S ribosomal RNA". It matches the Rfam family "Bacterial small subunit ribosomal RNA", at positions 118 to 351 of the family's 1533-position model. The record is from RNAcentral.